This 1528-nucleotide ribosomal RNA is filed under the name Klebsiella pneumoniae. RNAcentral's name for it is "bacterial SSU rRNA". It matches the Rfam family "Bacterial small subunit ribosomal RNA". RNAcentral also lists the same sequence under 48 other names. The record is from RNAcentral. Lineage: Bacteria; Pseudomonadati; Pseudomonadota; Gammaproteobacteria; Enterobacterales; Enterobacteriaceae.
AGAGUUUGAUCAUGGCUCAGAUUGAACGCUGGCGGCAGGCCUAACACAUGCAAGUCGAGCGGUAGCACAGAGAGCUUGCUCUCGGGUGACGAGCGGCGGACGGGUGAGUAAUGUCUGGGAAACUGCCUGAUGGAGGGGGAUAACUACUGGAAACGGUAGCUAAUACCGCAUAACGUCGCAAGACCAAAGUGGGGGACCUUCGGGCCUCAUGCCAUCAGAUGUGCCCAGAUGGGAUUAGCUAGUAGGUGGGGUAACGGCUCACCUAGGCGACGAUCCCUAGCUGGUCUGAGAGGAUGACCAGCCACACUGGAACUGAGACACGGUCCAGACUCCUACGGGAGGCAGCAGUGGGGAAUAUUGCACAAUGGGCGCAAGCCUGAUGCAGCCAUGCCGCGUGUGUGAAGAAGGCCUUCGGGUUGUAAAGCACUUUCAGCGGGGAGGAAGGCGUUAAGGUUAAUAACCUUGGCGAUUGACGUUACCCGCAGAAGAAGCACCGGCUAACUCCGUGCCAGCAGCCGCGGUAAUACGGAGGGUGCAAGCGUUAAUCGGAAUUACUGGGCGUAAAGCGCACGCAGGCGGUCUGUCAAGUCGGAUGUGAAAUCCCCGGGCUCAACCUGGGAACUGCAUUCGAAACUGGCAGGCUAGAGUCUUGUAGAGGGGGGUAGAAUUCCAGGUGUAGCGGUGAAAUGCGUAGAGAUCUGGAGGAAUACCGGUGGCGAAGGCGGCCCCCUGGACAAAGACUGACGCUCAGGUGCGAAAGCGUGGGGAGCAAACAGGAUUAGAUACCCUGGUAGUCCACGCCGUAAACGAUGUCGAUUUGGAGGUUGUGCCCUUGAGGCGUGGCUUCCGGAGCUAACGCGUUAAAUCGACCGCCUGGGGAGUACGGCCGCAAGGUUAAAACUCAAAUGAAUUGACGGGGGCCCGCACAAGCGGUGGAGCAUGUGGUUUAAUUCGAUGCAACGCGAAGAACCUUACCUGGUCUUGACAUCCACAGAACUUUCCAGAGAUGGAUUGGUGCCUUCGGGAACUGUGAGACAGGUGCUGCAUGGCUGUCGUCAGCUCGUGUUGUGAAAUGUUGGGUUAAGUCCCGCAACGAGCGCAACCCUUAUCCUUUGUUGCCAGCGGUCCGGCCGGGAACUCAAAGGAGACUGCCAGUGAUAAACUGGAGGAAGGUGGGGAUGACGUCAAGUCAUCAUGGCCCUUACGACCAGGGCUACACACGUGCUACAAUGGCAUAUACAAAGAGAAGCGACCUCGCGAGAGCAAGCGGACCUCAUAAAGUAUGUCGUAGUCCGGAUUGGAGUCUGCAACUCGACUCCAUGAAGUCGGAAUCGCUAGUAAUCGUAGAUCAGAAUGCUACGGUGAAUACGUUCCCGGGCCUUGUACACACCGCCCGUCACACCAUGGGAGUGGGUUGCAAAAGAAGUAGGUAGCUUAACCUUCGGGAGGGCGCUUACCACUUUGUGAUUCAUGACUGGGGUGAAGUCGUAACAAGGUAACCGUAGGGGAACCUGCGGUUGGAUCACCU